Hypanus sabinus (Atlantic stingray) is the source of this 657-nucleotide long non-coding RNA. RefSeq lists it as uncharacterized. The record is from RefSeq and is a predicted model, not a curated record. The transcript has 3 exons. Lineage: Eukaryota; Metazoa; Chordata; Chondrichthyes; Myliobatiformes; Dasyatidae.
AUGAAUUUGAAAAAUAACCUGUGGACUUGUAAUUAAUCAGCAUGCGAUGACGUCACAUACGGUUUCGCCGCGUCUUGUGGGAAAAUACCGGUUUGGGAGAAAUGGAAAGGUGGGGGCAGACAUGUGCGAGUCCAGCGCAGCAAACCUUUCUUUCUACGCACCAGAAACAUAGCGAGAGCAACGCUUUUUCACCAUACGUUAAUGUGGAAGAGUGAACAGUAAACGGUUAAUCUUACUGUGAUCCUGUCGUCAUUGACAAAGGUUUAACUCGGUGUUUAGUUCGGCGUUCCGUUACACCCGAGCGCGAACGCUACAAAUAUUAACAAUCAGGUCCCCAUUACAGUACUUGGAGAAUGUUGCUCUGUCAAAGAUUACAGUUUUCUCUUCUUAGAAGAUCCCCGGUACUACUUCUACCUUUACCUGUCAACAUUUCAAAUGGUCCACAAAUGCUACCUCAUUAUCUUGUUCUCUUUCUUCACUAUUUAUUUUUUAUAUAUUCUUAUUGUAACUCAAAGUAAUUUUUUGUGUCUUGCACUGUACUGCUGCCACAAACAACAAAUUUCACAUUUGACAACGUUAAAUCUGGUUCUGUUUGUGGUUCUGAUCAUGCCAGAAUCUCAGGAUUACCUGGAGGUGAGUUGUUCCUCUGGUGGUUUG